UACGUAGGGGGCUAGCGUUGUCCGGAUUUAUUGGGCGUAAAGAGCGUGUAGGCGGCCAGGUAGGUCUGCUGUGAAAACUCGAGGCUCAACCUCGAGACGUCGGCGGAAACCAUCUGGCUAGAGUCCGGAAGAGGAGAGUGGAAUUCCUGGUGUAGCGGUGAAAUGCGCAGAUAUCAGGAAGAACACCCGUGGCGAGGGCGGCUCUCUGGGACGGUACUGACGCUGAGACGCGAAAGCGUGGGGAGCGAACAGG
Molecule: ribosomal RNA, 253 nt
Filed under: uncultured bacterium
Lineage: Bacteria
Description: partial 16S ribosomal RNA
Rfam family: Bacterial small subunit ribosomal RNA
Source: RNAcentral